AAAAGUCGUAACAAGGUUUCCGAAGGUGAACCUGCGCAAGGAUCAUUAUCAUANNNNNNNNNCACGAGAGCAGUCAUGACGUUUUCGUCGAGCACGCCCAAAGCGCUCUCACACAUCCAUCUCACCCUUAUGUGCACCACCGCGUGGGUCCCCCCUUUUGAAGGGGGGGCUCGCGUUUUCAUACAAACUUGACGCAGUGUAGAAUGUCUUUAUAUUUUGCGAUCACACGCAAUCAAUACAACUUUCAACAACGGAUCUCUUGGCUCUCGCAUCGAUGAAGAACGCAGCGAAAUGCGAUACGUAAUGUGAAUUGCAGAAUUCAGUGAAUCAUCGAAUCUUUGAACGCACCUUGCGCCCCUUGGCAUUCCGAGGGGCACACCCGUUUGAGUGUCGUGAAAUUCUCAAAACCUUUUCUUUGGUCUUUCGACCGGGUUUAGCGUUUUGGACUUGGAGGCUUUUUGCUGGUUUCACCUUGAAGCGAGCUCCUCCUAAAUGGAUUAGCGGGGUCUGCUUUGCCGAUCCUUGACGUGAUAAGAUGUUUCUACGUCUCGGGUUUGGCACUGUCCCUUGGGCACCUGCUUCUAACCGUCUCAUCGACAAUGAUGGCGUUCCGGUCACCACCGUUUCAUCGGUGGGAGGCUCGACCCACGAAACAAAGCUUGACCUCAAAUCGGGUGGGUCUAUCCGCUGAACUUAAGCAUAUCAAUAAGCGGAGGA
Molecule: ribosomal RNA, 717 nt
Filed under: Russula consobrina
Lineage: Eukaryota; Fungi; Basidiomycota; Agaricomycetes; Russulales; Russulaceae
Description: eukaryotic LSU rRNA
Rfam family: 5.8S ribosomal RNA (bases 240-393)
Source: RNAcentral